This 253-nucleotide ribosomal RNA is filed under the name uncultured bacterium. Its description in RNAcentral is "partial 16S ribosomal RNA". It matches the Rfam family "Bacterial small subunit ribosomal RNA", at positions 524 to 776 of the family's 1533-position model. The record is from RNAcentral.
UACGUAGGGGACAAGCGUUAUCCGGAAUUACUGGGUGUAAAGGGAGCGUAGACGGUAAUGUAAGUCUGGAGUGAAAGGCGGGGGCCCAACCCCCGGACUGCUCUGGAAACUAUGUUACUGGAGUGCAGGAGAGGUAAGCGGAAUUCCUAGUGUAGCGGUGAAAUGCGUAGAUAUUAGGAGGAACACCAGUGGCGAAGGCGGCUUACUGGACUGUAACUGACGUUGAGGCUCGAAAGCGUGGGGAGCAAACAGG